This is a non-coding RNA of Myotis brandtii (Brandt's bat), 530 nucleotides long. The record is from the annotation of a RefSeq genome assembly. NCBI's taxonomy places the organism in Eukaryota, Metazoa, Chordata, Mammalia, Chiroptera, Vespertilionidae.
CAGCCCCAGGAUCCCCAGGUGUUCUCAUUCUCUGAUCAGGACUGAACACAGACCACUCACUAUGGGGUUGGGGCUCAGCUGGGUUUUCCUUGUUGCUAUUUUAAGAGGUGUACAGUGCGAUGUGCAGCUGGUGGAGUCUGGGGGAGAUUUGGUGCAGCCUGGGGGGUCUCUGAGACUCUCCUGUGCAGCCUCUGGAUUCACCUUCAGUAGCUACUGGAUGCACUGGGUCCGCCAGGCUCCAGGGGAGGGGCUGGAGUGGGUCUCACUCAUUAAUCCUGAUGGAAGUACCACAUACUAUGCAGACUCUGUGAAGGGCCGAUUCACCAUCUCCAGAGACAAUGCCAAGAACACGCUGUAUCUGCAAAUGAACAGCCUGAGAGCAGAGGACACGGCCUUGUAUUACUGUUCAACAAACACAGUGAGGGAAAGUCAGUGUGAGCCCAGACACAAACCUCCCUGCAGCAGAAGCUGUGACCACCAGGGGGCGCUCAGGGUCCAUGAACCCAAGGACCAUCCCAGCAGCAGGAGCA